Molecule: ribosomal RNA, 249 nt
Filed under: Acinetobacter baumannii OIFC143
Lineage: Bacteria; Pseudomonadati; Pseudomonadota; Gammaproteobacteria; Moraxellales; Moraxellaceae
Description: partial 16S ribosomal RNA
Rfam family: Bacterial small subunit ribosomal RNA
Source: RNAcentral
UUAAUACCUAGAGAUAGUGGACGUUACUCGCAGAAUAAGCACCGGCUAACUCUGUGCCAGCAGCCCGCGGUAAUACAGAGGGUGCGAGCGUUAAUCGGAUUUACUGGGCGUAAAGCGUGCGUAGGCGGCUUAUUAAGUCGGAUGUGAAAUCCCCGAGCUUAACUUGGGAAUUGCAUUCGAUACUGGUGAGCUAGAGUAUGGGAGAGGAUGGUAGAAUUCCAGGUGUAGCGGUGAAAUGCGUAGAGAUCU